GGAGGAAUGCCCGAGUGGUUAAAGGGGACGGACUGUAAAUCCGUUGGCUAUGCCUUCGUUGGUUCAAAUCCAACUUCCUCCACCA
RNAcentral lists this transfer RNA (85 nucleotides) under Paenochrobactrum glaciei. RNAcentral's name for it is "tRNA-Tyr". It matches the Rfam family "tRNA". Rfam says of the family: Transfer RNA (tRNA) molecules are approximately 80 nucleotides in length. Their secondary structure includes four short double-helical elements and three loops (D, anti-codon, and T loops). RNAcentral also lists the same sequence under 1 other name. Lineage: Bacteria; Pseudomonadati; Pseudomonadota; Alphaproteobacteria; Hyphomicrobiales; Brucellaceae. The record is from RNAcentral.